RNAcentral lists this transfer RNA (61 nucleotides) under Candidatus Caccenecus avistercoris. Its description in RNAcentral is "tRNA-Ser". Lineage: Bacteria; Bacillati; Bacillota; Bacilli. The record is from RNAcentral.
GAGGAAUUAUAGGGAGUCUCCAAAACUUUAGUUGGGAGUUCGAUUCUCUCAUCCCCUGCCA